UACGUAGGGGGCAAGCGUUGCCCGGAAUCAUUGGGCGUAAAGCGCGUGUAGGCGGCUCGAUAAGUCUGCUGUGAAAGUUCAGGGCUCAACCCUGAAAUGCCGGUGGAAACUGUCGAGCUAGAGUCCGGAAGAGGCGAGUGGAAUUCCUGGUGUAGCGGUGAAAUGCGCAGAUAUCGGGAAGAACACCCGUGGCGAAGGCGGCUCUCUGGGACGGUACUGACGCUGAGACGCGAAAGCGUGGGGAGCGAACAGG
This 253-nucleotide ribosomal RNA is filed under the name uncultured bacterium. Its description in RNAcentral is "partial 16S ribosomal RNA". It matches the Rfam family "Bacterial small subunit ribosomal RNA", at positions 524 to 776 of the family's 1533-position model. The record is from RNAcentral.